Molecule: ribosomal RNA, 412 nt
Filed under: Staphylococcus epidermidis
Lineage: Bacteria; Bacillati; Bacillota; Bacilli; Caryophanales; Staphylococcaceae
Description: bacterial SSU rRNA
Rfam family: Bacterial small subunit ribosomal RNA
Source: RNAcentral
UUUUAUGGAGAGUUUGAUCCUGGCUCAGGAUGAACGCUGGCGGCGUGCCUAAUACAUGCAAGUCGAGCGAACAGACGAGGAGCUUGCUCCUCUGACGUUAGCGGCGGACGGGUGAGUAACACGUGGAUAACCUACCUAUAAGACUGGGAUAACUUCGGGAAACCGGAGCUAAUACCGGAUAAUAUAUUGAACCGCAUGGUUCAAUAGUGAAAGACGGUUUUGCUGUCACUUAUAGAUGGAUCCGCGCCGCAUUAGCUAGUUGGUAAGGUAACGGCUUACCAAGGCAACGAUGCGUAGCCGACCUGAGAGGGUGAUCGGCCACACUGGAACUGAGACACGGUCCAGACUCCUACGGGAGGCAGCAGUAGGGAAUCUUCCGCAAUGGGCGAAAGCCUGACGGAGCAACGCCGCG